UACAGAGGGUGCAAGCGUUAAUCGGAAUUACUGGGCGUAAAGCGUGCGUAGGUGGUUUACUAAGUCAGGUGUGAAAUCCCCGGGCUCAACCUGGGAACGGCAUCCGGAACUGUCAAGCUAGAGUGCAGGAGAGGAAGGUAGAAUUCCCGGUGUAGCGGUGAAAUGCGUAGAGAUCGGGAGGAAUACCAGUGGCGAAGGCGGCCUUCUGGACUGACACUGACACUGAGGUGCGAAAGCGUGGGUAGCAAACAGG
RNAcentral lists this ribosomal RNA (253 nucleotides) under uncultured bacterium. RNAcentral's name for it is "partial 16S ribosomal RNA". It matches the Rfam family "Bacterial small subunit ribosomal RNA", at positions 524 to 776 of the family's 1533-position model. The record is from RNAcentral.